Suricata suricatta (meerkat) is the source of this 196-nucleotide long non-coding RNA. RefSeq lists it as uncharacterized. The transcript has 3 exons. NCBI's taxonomy places the organism in Eukaryota, Metazoa, Chordata, Mammalia, Carnivora, Herpestidae. The record is from RefSeq and is a predicted model, not a curated record.
GUCAACAGUCAGAAUGUCUGUAUUUUCCUCAUCUACUUGAAUGCCUGUCCAAUCCCAUUCUCAAACCUACAGCUGAGAAGCAGAUGAACACUCAUGUGCAUUGGCCAAGAAAUAGACAUCGACACAAGGAUUCAAGAUGACAUCUUUUUUUGGGAAGGUGCCUGAGUGGCUCAGUCAACAUCGGACUUUGGCUCAG